Ornithorhynchus anatinus (platypus) is the source of this 284-nucleotide long non-coding RNA. RefSeq lists it as uncharacterized. The record is from RefSeq and is a predicted model, not a curated record. Lineage: Eukaryota; Metazoa; Chordata; Mammalia; Monotremata; Ornithorhynchidae. The transcript is spliced from 2 exons.
CAACCUUUACAUAAUGGCUGGAUGAGCUCAGUCCAUUUCCUAUGAGCAAAGAAGGCCAAAAUCCAGAAGGUGAAAGAUCACUUCAGAAAGCCGAGAUUCAAACUGGCUCAGGUGGUGAAUGUGGGAGAUGGAACUGGUUAACAUUUACUCAGCUUGGUGGGGGGACGUUUGUCCGACGUGCGUCUCGAAGAACGCCUUUCACCUGGGAAUUGAGAGACACUUUACGAAAGUGACUUCAGCAGCACAAGACAUUUUGAAGCUGUAAAUAAAAUUGUACGACUCUA